AGGAUAUCGAUUCACUUCCUCCCCUUGCCUUCUCUCUCUUACUUUCCCCAAUUUUGGCCAUUGACGACGACUUCCCAAAGCUUCGACUCCAGCCGCUCCAGCCUGUGAUUCCUGUUCCGUCGUUCGUCCUCACCGCCAGACACCGGUGCCCUCCUCCCGUCGGGACGGCCUCGACGACUCCGCGCGCGGAGGCUUUCCCUGGUCGCCUAGGCCGACUCUGGUCGUCCCCGUGCAGGCUCUGCUCGGCGAGAUCUGCUCCUCGAGCUCAUCCCGUAGGUCCGCCGCCCCUGGGCGACCUCCCACAUCGGCCCUGCACAGGCUUUGCUCGGGGAGAGGUUCUUCUCGAGCUCAUCCCAGAUGUACGCCGCCCCUUGAUGCUGGCCGUCCAGCAGCGUCCGUACAUGGAAGUUCAGAUCUCAAAAGAGUGCUCGACGCCGCCCACCCUGAUAGCGGCCAUGUCGGGGCUGGAGGUCAAGCGUGAGGACGAUGAUUCGGCGGAGCAGGGACGAAGUGAUAAUUUGGAGAGUGGUUUGACACAGCCUUUGCUCAUAGAGACAAAGGAGUGGCAAGUUGACAAUGCAGAGGAUAAUGAUGGUUGCUAGUCCAUACAGAUUCCUCAUGCCACAUGUGAAGGUCGACAAAGGAACUGAUGGCUUGUAUUUCAGUGAUCUACUGUUGGCUUACCAUUUGUUUUUAUAGAGGU
This is a non-coding RNA of Aegilops tauschii subsp. strangulata, 703 nucleotides long. NCBI's taxonomy places the organism in Eukaryota, Viridiplantae, Streptophyta, Magnoliopsida, Poales, Poaceae. The record is from RefSeq and is a predicted model, not a curated record.